Molecule: long non-coding RNA, 1083 nt
Filed under: Equus caballus (horse)
Lineage: Eukaryota; Metazoa; Chordata; Mammalia; Perissodactyla; Equidae
Description: lncRNA (ENSECAG00000056816.1)
Source: RNAcentral
GGAAGAUUGGCCUUGAGCUAACAUCUGUGCCAAUCUUCCUCCACUUUACAUGUGGCAUGCUGCCGUAGCCUGGCUUGAUGAGCCGUGUGUGGGUCCAUGCCCAGAAUCUGAACCCACAAACCCCUGACCACCAAGGGAGAGCACAUGAACUUAACCACUAGGCCACGGGGCUGGCCCUGCCUUUUUUUUUUUUAAUAUAAAGUUUGAAAGCCUUUAGGUGAGGUGUGCCUGUCCAGUCCUCUGUUCAAUCCACUUCCCAAUGCUUUAAUAUUUUAUACAAGUUAACUGUCUGGCUCAAGGCAUUUGAGUCUGUGAGCCCUAAUUUCAGCCUAGCUCCCCAAAUUCUUGGAUCUCCCCCACAACACCUGUGAUGCCUGGCUCUCUCUCCUGCCUAUGCUUCCAGAGGCAGGGAGCUUACGAGGAAGUGUGUUCCAUUGGUGGAAAGCUCUGAAUGAAAAUCAUAACUACAAAUUUACUAUUGAAAUCCUCUUGGUAGCUCACUGUUUACUGCUGACUGCUUUUCCCAUUCCCAGGCAUUCCAUCACAACAUGGAUCUGGCCUUUUAGAUACAUUUUCCUACCUGCUCUUUAGGAAGAAGCCAGGAAAAAUAAUCUCCAUAUGAAGGGCCAUCUGGAGCACCGGGUGUAUAAUAAAUCACUGUGAACAGCAAUUAUACUUACUGGGAGCCCCGUUAUUUUCUUGCAAGUAGAAACAGGAGGAUACGCUAUUGGCUUCUGAAAACAAUGUUGUCACGAACUUCCUUCUGGGAGAGCUGAAGGUCAGGAAGACCCCAGGCUGUCAGUCUGAGAAGAAAGGAGCUGCUAUAGUGGGGGAAUGGAAGACUAUCUGGAUUUUCCUCUUUUCCUUCAGCUGUAGUCCCUACAAAGAUCUAACAUGUUUUUAUCCUACGUAGCUUUUCUUAUAUCCUUUUAGGAAGUAUUACCCUUUGCAAUUUGCACUGAUCUGUUGAUCUUGACCAAGAUGCAGGUUUUCAAGGCAAAGUCACUUAGUAGCUGAAUGACCUUAAGUGAGCCAUCUCCCUCCCUCAGCCACUCCUUCCCCAAGUGGAGAGAGUGGCUAAUG